GAAAGACCCCGUGAACCUUUACUAUAGCUUGACACUGAACAUUGAGCCUUGAUGUGUAGGAUAGGUGGGAGGCUUUGAAGUGUGGACGCCAGUCUGCAUGGAGCCGACCUUGAAAUACCACCCUUUAAUGUUUGAUGUUCUAACGUUGGCCCCUGAUCGGGGUUGCGGACAGUGUCUGGUGGGUAGUUUGACUGGGGCGGUCUCCUCCUAAAGAGUAACGGAGGAGCACGAAGGUUGGCUAAUCCUGGUCGGACAUCAGGAGGUUAGUGCAAUGGCAUAAGCCAGCUUGACUGCGAGCGUGACGGCGCGAGCAGGUGCGAAAGCAGGUCAUAGUGAUCCGGUGGUUCUGAAUGGAAGGGCCAUCGCUCAACGGAUAAAAGGUACUCCGGGGAUAACAGGCUGAUACCGCCCAAGAGUUCAUAUCGACGGCGGUGUUUGGCACCUCGAUGUCGGCUCAUCACAUCCUGGGGCUGAAGUAGGUCCCAAGGGUAUGGCUGUUCGCCAUUUAAAGUGGUACGCGAGCUGGGUUUAGAACGUCGUGAGACAGUUCGGUCCCUAUCUGCCGUGGGCGCUGGAGAACUGAGGGGGGCUGCUCCUAGUACGAGAGGACCGGAGUGGACGCAUCACUGGUGUUCGGGUUGUCAUGCCAAUGGCACUGCCCGGUAGCUAAAUGCGGAAGAGAUAAGUGCUGAAAGCAUCUAAGCACGAAACUUGC
Molecule: ribosomal RNA, 715 nt
Filed under: Escherichia coli
Lineage: Bacteria; Pseudomonadati; Pseudomonadota; Gammaproteobacteria; Enterobacterales; Enterobacteriaceae
Description: partial 23S ribosomal RNA
Rfam family: Bacterial large subunit ribosomal RNA
Source: RNAcentral